This 296-nucleotide ribosomal RNA is filed under the name uncultured Desulfobulbus sp. RNAcentral's name for it is "partial 16S ribosomal RNA". It matches the Rfam family "Bacterial small subunit ribosomal RNA", at positions 1086 to 1382 of the family's 1533-position model. Lineage: Bacteria; Pseudomonadati; Thermodesulfobacteriota; Desulfobulbia; Desulfobulbales; Desulfobulbaceae. The record is from RNAcentral.
CCCGCAACGAGCGCAACCCUUGCCUUUAGUUGCCAGCAGUUCGGCUGGGCACUCUAAAGGGACUGCCGGUGUUAAACCGGAGGAAGGUGGGGAUGACGUCAAGUCCUCAUGGCCUUUAUGACCAGGGCUACACACGUACUACAAUGGCCGAUACAAAGGGCAGCGACACUGCGAGGUGAAGCCAAUCCCGUAAAAUCGGUCUCAGUCCGGAUUGGAGUCUGCAACUCGACUCCAUGAAGUUGGAAUCGCUAGUAAUCGUGGAUCAGCAUGCCACGGUGAAUACGUUCCCGGGCCUU